RNAcentral lists this ribosomal RNA (479 nucleotides) under uncultured bacterium. Its description in RNAcentral is "bacterial SSU rRNA". It matches the Rfam family "Bacterial small subunit ribosomal RNA", at positions 29 to 484 of the family's 1533-position model. The record is from RNAcentral.
AACUAACGCUGGCGGCGUGCCUAACACAUGCAAGUCGUACGAGAAAGCCGGCUUCGGCUGGUGAGUAAAGUGGCGCACGGGUGAGUAACGCGUGGAUAAUCUGCCCUUAAGUGUGGAAUAACGUACCGAAAGGUGCGCUAAUACCGCAUAAUGCCUGGCAACACAAGUUGUCCGGCCAAAGAAGGCCUCUGUUUACAAGCUUUCGCUUCAGGAUGAGUCCGCGUACCAUUAGCUUGUUGGUGGGGUAAUGGCCUACCAAGGCUGCGAUGGUUAGCUGGUCUGAGAGGAUGAUCAGCCACACUGGAACUGAGACACGGUCCAGACUCCUACGGGAGACAGCAGUGAGGAAUAUUGCGCAAUGGGGCAACCCUGACGCAGCAACGCCGCGUGAGUGAGGAAGGUUUUCGGACUGUAAAGCUCUGUCGAGCGGGAAGAAGUGUACCAUGGCUAAUAUCCAUGAUAUUUGACGGUACCGCUAG